AGCAGCCGCGGUAAUUCCAGCUCCAAUAGCGUAUAUUAAAGUUGCUGCAGUUAAAAAGCUCGUAGUUGAAUUUCGGGAUCAAUGCGUCGGUCGUGCCUUCGGUACGUACUAGCGUCAUUGAUUCCUCCCUUCUGAAGAACCGUGAUGUCAUUAAUUUGGUGUUACGGGGAUUCAGGACUGUUAACCUUGAAAAAUUAGAGUGUUUAAAGCAGGCUAACGCUUGAAUACAUUAGCAUGGAAUAAUGAAAUAGGACGUUCGAACCUAUUUUGUUGGUUUCUAGGAUCGACGUAAUGAUUAAUAGGAUAGUUGGGGGCAUUAGUAUUCAAUUGUCAGAGGUGAAAUUCUU
RNAcentral lists this ribosomal RNA (347 nucleotides) under uncultured Glomus. Its description in RNAcentral is "SSU rRNA". It matches the Rfam family "Eukaryotic small subunit ribosomal RNA", at positions 569 to 921 of the family's 1831-position model. The record is from RNAcentral. Lineage: Eukaryota; Fungi; Glomeromycota; Glomeromycetes; Glomerales; Glomeraceae.